CAGGUCUGCCUGACCAUGCCCUUGCAGGCCUGGUCAGGGUGAUGUAAAGUGAGAGGUUCAGGGGCUGGGUUUCACUUUCGUUUUUCCUUUUCAGCUUGCUGUACAGACUGCUGCUGCACCGGCUGGCUGGGUCACUCUGUGCCUACUGAAUCACCUUUGAGACCACCCCAGCAGGUCUGGAGAAUCUUAUUGCAGUCUGGGGAAGGGAGGAGUCUAUGCUGCCCACUCUGCCUUGGAUGGUGGGGUGUUCAAUAAUAAAAGGUCCAGCUGCCGGGACAAUACUCAGCCAUGAUCAGGACUGCCCAGCUUCUGGCCUAGACGAAGUGACCUUAGCCAACCCCUGUGAAAGGGCUGUUCAAGCCCCCAAAGGGCUCAUGACCCACAGUUUGAGAAGCACUGGUCUAAGAACCAACAGCUACCCCAGGCCAGAUCUUCACCAGUCCUCCAGGAGACAAGAGCAGGCUUCCAGCACCAGAUUGAUGGCUGAUGAGGACAGACACAGGACAUCUAUCAGACAAGAGCUACAAAGGCAUCUAUCUGCCAGUCCAAACAGCUCAGUGUGAAGGACUCCCAGUCAUUGUCCAACAACCAGGUGAUAGGCCUGGCUGCCAGGCAAGUGCAGUGUCUGUGAAAGGCACACUAUAAGCAACUGAACGUAGAUCUUUUUCCUUGCCCUUAGGGCAGAGUGCUGGCUGCCCUGGUGCUCCAAGUCAAUCAAUGACAAAGAUCUCCACAGUGUUUAUUAGCUGCAUCUUCUAAAUCCCCUCCCCUUUGGGAAGGCAUCUUUGCUGGCAGUCUGUAGCAUCACUUUGUGCAAACUUCUGCUGCCAGGCCGUGGUCCCACCUUUCCACUGAAACUCAGAACAAAUUCCCCUGCCACGACGAUGACCGCCUUGUGGCUGUAGAUGCAGUCCUUUGGGCCACGCAGAACAUUAUGGCUUACAGAAGGUCCUCCAUCCAUGCUUUUACUGACUCUUGGAGAGUCACAAACGAAUUAUGUGUUUGAUCAACCCAGUAGCAUGGAGAGAGAGAAAUCCUUACCCAGGCCCAUCUUUGUGGGAUGCCUCCAUCUGAAAAGAGGUGGCCAAAUGGCCAAUCAUAAUGACUAGAUGGAGUGAAGAAAAGUUACAUGGUCGCAACUGGGAGCUGGAAAGUGCCGCAGACGUGGGUGGACCAGAGCAUAGUGCAAUGGAUAUCCCUGGAGAGUCAGCCUUGCAGGUAAACGUUUGUCUUCAGAGUGGCAAUGUUAGUGCGAGCCAAGGCUUAUAGCCUUUAUGAUACUCCAGGAGACAAGUGCUUCUUUAUACAGGUGGACAAUUCCCUCUGCCCAUAGGCUUCUGCCUCCGAGACUGCUAAAAUCCUUGUUUAAUAAAUGCCCUUUAACUCUAAGACAUUAACUAUACCAAACUCCAGGCCAUAUUGUCACCAUUCUUUUCACUGUAAUUGGGUACAUACAGUCACAUAGCCCAUAUUGGUAAUUCAGGGAUAAUUAGUAUUAUCUUUAUAUUCUCCAAAACUCCCCCUAUGAAUUUAAAGUAUCAGUUGUUUUGCUUUAUGCUAACCAUUGAUCACCAAA
Non-coding RNA from Cricetulus griseus (Chinese hamster), 1576 nucleotides. The record is from RefSeq and is a predicted model, not a curated record. Lineage: Eukaryota; Metazoa; Chordata; Mammalia; Rodentia; Cricetidae.